CCUACGGGAGGCAGCAGUAGGGCAUCUUCCACAAUGGGCGAAAGCCUGAUGGAGCAACGCCGCGUGGGUGAAGAAGGUCUUCGGAUCGUAAAACCCUGUUGUUAGAGAAGAAAGUGCGUGAGAGUAACUGUUCACGUUUCGACGGUAUAUAACCAGAAAGCCACGGCUAACUACGUGCCAGCAGCCGCGGUAAUCCGUAGGUGGCAAGCGUUAUCCGGAUUUAUUUGGCCUAAAGGGAACGCAGGCGGUCUUUUAAGUCUGAUGUGAAAGCCUUCGGCUUAACCGGAGUAGUGCAUUGGAAACUGGGGGACUUGAGUGCAGAGGAGGAGAGUGGAACGCCAUGUGUAGCGGUGAAAUGCGUAGAUAUUAGGAGGAACACCAGUGGCGAAGGCGGCCUGCUGGGCUUUUACUGACGCUGAGGCUCGAAAGUGUGGGGAGCAAACAGGAUUAGAUACCCCAGUAGUC
RNAcentral lists this ribosomal RNA (465 nucleotides) under uncultured bacterium. RNAcentral's name for it is "partial 16S ribosomal RNA". It matches the Rfam family "Bacterial small subunit ribosomal RNA", at positions 338 to 795 of the family's 1533-position model. The record is from RNAcentral.